UACGUAGGUCUCGAGCGUUGUCCGGAUUUAUUGGGCUUAAAGCGAGCGCAGGUGGUUUAUUAAGUCUGGUGUAAAAGGCAGUGGCUCAACCAUUGUAUGCAUUGGAAACUGGUAGACUUGAGUGCAGGAGAGGAGAGUGGAAUUCCAUGUGUAGCGGUGAAAUGCGUAGAUAUAUGGAGGAACACCGGUGGCGAAAGCGGCUCUCUGGCCUGUAACUGACACUGAGGCUCGAAAGCGUGGGGAGCAAACAGG
Molecule: ribosomal RNA, 252 nt
Filed under: uncultured bacterium
Lineage: Bacteria
Description: partial 16S ribosomal RNA
Rfam family: Bacterial small subunit ribosomal RNA
Source: RNAcentral